CCGAGUUUACAACUCCCAAACCCCUGUGAACAUACCUAUACUGUUGCCUCGGCGGAUCAGCCCGCGCCCGUAAAACGGGACGGCCCGCCAGAGGACCCCUAAACUCUGUUUCUAUAGUGGAACUUCUGAGUAAAACCAUAAAUAAAUCA
RNAcentral lists this unclassified non-coding RNA (149 nucleotides) under soil metagenome. RNAcentral describes it as "partial internal transcribed spacer 1". The record is from RNAcentral.